Molecule: ribosomal RNA, 407 nt
Filed under: uncultured bacterium
Lineage: Bacteria
Description: partial 16S ribosomal RNA
Rfam family: Bacterial small subunit ribosomal RNA
Source: RNAcentral
AUUGAACGCUGGCGGCAGGCCUAACACAUGCAAGUCGAGCGGAGCGGCGGACGGGUGAGUAAUGCCUAGGAAUCUGCCUGGUAGUGGGGGAUAACGUCCGGAAACGGGCGCUAAUACCGCAUACUAUCAGAUGAGCCUAGGUCGGAUUAGCUAGUUGGUGGGGUAAAGGCCUACCAAGGCGACGAUCCGUAACUGGUCUGAGAGGAUGAUCAGUCACACUGGAACUGAGACCGGGUCCAGACUCUUAGGGGGGGAAGCAGGGGGGAAUAUGGAAAAAUGGGCGAACGCAUGACCCACCCAUGCCGGGUGUGAGAAGAAGGUCUUGGAAUUGUAAAGCACUUUAGGGUGGGAGGCGUUACCAUCAAAAGAAGCAACGGCUAACUCCGUGCCAGCAGCCGCGGUAAUAC